CCGUACUAAGCAAUACUAUACCUCUAUAGAAAAUUUUAUGUUAAAACUAGUAACAAGAAGACAGACCUUCUCUUAAAUGUAAACGUAAAUCAUAAGGACAAACCACUGAUAUUUAACGCUCAAGAACCAGAAGUAAUAACCAACCAAGAAAACUUUACUUUAAUUAACGUUAACCUAACACAAGAGCAUUUCAAGAAAGAUUAAAAGAAAAAGAAGGAACUCGGCAAACUUUAACCUCGCCUGUUUACCAAAAACAUCACCUCUUGAUAAUAAUGAGAGGCCCAGCCUGCCCAGUGACCCAGUUCAACGGCCGCGGUAUCCUAACCGUGCGAAGGUAGCGUAAUCACUUGUUCUUUAAAUAAGGACUAGUAUGAACGGCAUCACGAGGGUUAUGCUGUCUCCUUUUUCCGAUCAGUGAAACUAAUUUCCCCGUGAAGAAGCGGGGAUAAAAUUAUAAGACGAGAAGACCCUAUGGAGCUUCAAACAACACAACAAAUGCCAAACAACUUAAAAAUUUCAUAACUCCAAAUUUACUCAGCAUUAUGAUUGUUAGUUUUAGGUUGGGGUGACCGCGGAGCAAAACACAACCUCCACAUUGAAAGAAUUUUAUUCUAAGCCAAGAACCACAACUCAAAGCAUCUAUAUAUUGACAUUAAUUGACCCAAUAAACUUGAACAACGAACCAAGUUACCCUAGGGAUAACAGCGCAAUCUACUUCAAGAGCCCCUAUCGACAAGUAGGUUUACGACCUCGAUGUUGGAUCAGGGUCUCCAAGUGGUGCAGCCGCUACU
RNAcentral lists this ribosomal RNA (791 nucleotides) under Osornophryne guacamayo (Guacamayo plump toad). RNAcentral describes it as "partial 16S ribosomal RNA". It matches the Rfam family "Bacterial large subunit ribosomal RNA", at positions 1472 to 2566 of the family's 2925-position model. Lineage: Eukaryota; Metazoa; Chordata; Amphibia; Anura; Bufonidae. The record is from RNAcentral.